UAGGGAAUCUUCGGCAAUGGGGGGAACCCUGACCGAGCAACGCCGCGUGAGUGAAGAAGGUUUUCGGAUCGUAAAGCUCUGUUGUUAAGGAAGAACGAGUGUGAGAAUGGAAAGUUCAUACUGUGACGGUACUUAACCAGAAAGGGACGGCUAACUACGUGCCAGCAGCCGCGGUAAUACGUAGGUCCCGAGCGUUGUCCGGAUUUAUUGGGCGUAAAGCGAUCGCAGGCGGUUAGAUAAGUCUGAAUGUAAAGGCAGUGGCUCAACCAUUGUAGGCUUUGGAAACUGUUUAACUUGAGUGCAGAAGGGGAGAGUGGAAUUCCAUGUGUAGCGGUGAAAUGCGUAGAUAUAUGGAGGAACACCGGUGGCGAAAGCGGCUCUCUGGUCUGUAACUGACGCUGAGGCUCGAAAGCGUGGGGAGCGAACAGG
RNAcentral lists this ribosomal RNA (429 nucleotides) under Bacteroidota bacterium. RNAcentral's name for it is "Bacteroidetes bacterium partial 16S ribosomal RNA". It matches the Rfam family "Bacterial small subunit ribosomal RNA", at positions 355 to 776 of the family's 1533-position model. The record is from RNAcentral. Lineage: Bacteria; Pseudomonadati; Bacteroidota.